AACGAACGCUGGCGGCAGGCCUAACACAUGCAAGUCGAGCGCGCCCUUCGGGGUGAGCGGCGGACGGGUGAGUAACGCGUGGGAACGUGCCCUUUUCUACGGAAUAGCCUCGGGAAACUGAGAGUAAUACCGUAUACGCCCUUUGGGGGAAAGAUUUAUCGGAAAAGGAUCGGCCCGCGUUGGAUUAGGUAGUUGGUGGGGUAAUGGCCUACCAAGCCGACGAUCCAUAGCUGGUUUGAGAGGAUGAUCAGCCACACUGGGACUGAGACACGGCCCAGACACCUACGGGAGGAGGCAGUGGGGAAUCUUAGACAGUGGGGGCAACCCUGAUCUAGCCAUGCCGCGUGAGGGAUGAAGGCCUUAGGGUUGUAAAGCUCUUUCAGCUGGGAAGAUAUUGACGGUACCAGCAGAAGAAGCCCCGGCUAACUCCGUGC
This 434-nucleotide ribosomal RNA is filed under the name uncultured bacterium. RNAcentral's name for it is "partial 16S ribosomal RNA". It matches the Rfam family "Bacterial small subunit ribosomal RNA", at positions 29 to 508 of the family's 1533-position model. The record is from RNAcentral.